This 468-nucleotide ribosomal RNA is filed under the name uncultured bacterium. Its description in RNAcentral is "partial 16S ribosomal RNA". It matches the Rfam family "Bacterial small subunit ribosomal RNA", at positions 28 to 507 of the family's 1533-position model. The record is from RNAcentral.
GACGAACGCUGGCGGCGUGCUCAACACACGCAAGCCGAACGGAAAGGCCCUGCUUUUGUGGGGUGCUCGAGUGGCGAACGGGUGUGUAACAUGUGAGUUACCUGCCCUUGACUUUGGGACAACUUCAGGUAACUGGGGCUAAUACCGGAUCGGAGCUCCUGCUGCACGGUGGGGGCUGGAAAGUUUCGGCGGUUGGGGAUGGACUCGCGGCUUACCAGCUUGUUGGUGGGGUAGUGGCUUACUAAGGCUUUGACGGGUAGCCGGCCUGAGAGGGUGACCGGCCACAGUGGGACUGAGAUACGGCCCAGACUCCUACGGGAGUCAGCAGUGGGGAGUGUUGCACAAUGGGCGGAAGCCUGAUGCAGCAACGCCGGGUGCGGGAUAGCGGCCUUCGGGUGGUAAACCGCUUUCGCCUGUGACGAAGCGUGAGUGACGGUAAUGGGUAAAGAAGCACCGGCUAAGUACGUG